Molecule: ribosomal RNA, 317 nt
Filed under: Cladosporium sp. CL155
Lineage: Eukaryota; Fungi; Ascomycota; Dothideomycetes; Cladosporiales; Cladosporiaceae
Description: LSU rRNA
Rfam family: Eukaryotic large subunit ribosomal RNA
Source: RNAcentral
AGACCGAUAGCGAACAAGUAGAGUGAUCGAAAGAUGAAAAGCACUUUGGAAAGAGAGUUAAAAAGCACGUGAAAUUGUUGAAAGGGAAGCGCUCACAACCAGACUUCUGGGCGGUGUUCCGCCGGUCUUCUGACCGGUCUACUCACCGUCCCGAGGCCAACAUCAUCUGGGACCGCCGGAUAAGACCUUAGGAAUGUAGCUCCCCUCGGGGAGUGUUAUAGCCUGUGGUGAUGCGGCGCGUCUCGGGUGAGGUCCGCGCUUCGGCAAGGAUGUUGGCGUAAUGGUUGUCAGCGGCCCGUCUUGAAACACGGACCAAG